Molecule: ribosomal RNA, 405 nt
Filed under: uncultured bacterium
Lineage: Bacteria
Description: bacterial SSU rRNA
Rfam family: Bacterial small subunit ribosomal RNA
Source: RNAcentral
UCGGGAAUAUUGCGCAAUGGAGGAAACUCUGACGCAGUGACGCCGCGUGCAGGAAGAAGGUUUUCGGAUUGUAAACUGCUUUAGACAGGGAAGAAACAAGACAGUACCUGUAGAAUAAGCUCCGGCUAACUACGUGCCAGCAGCCGCGGUAAUACGUAGGGAGCAAGCGUUAUCCGGAUUUAUUGGGUGUAAAGGGUGCGUAGACGGGAAGGCAAGUUAGUUGUGAAAUCCCUCGGCUUAACUGAGGAACUGCAACUAAAACUAUCUUUCUUGAGUGCUGGAGAGGAAAGUGGAAUUCCUAGUGUAGCGGUGAAAUGCGUAGAUAUUAGGAGGAACACCAGUGGCGAAGGCGACUUUCUGGACAGUAACUGACGUUGAGGCACGAAAGUGUGGGGAGCAAACAGG